CCGUCAGGGCGAUGAAAGGAAACAUUUAAACAAGUGGCAAAACCGGAGCGGAGCAUAAAAUCUGGUUUUUAUAAUCAAAUUGUGUGCCGUACUGUUCCGCCCGACGUCGUCUCCGUAGUCGUCGGCGUUUGUUUAUGCCCGUUUGCUGCUCACAUCUUGCUUCUGCCCAGCCGCACCAAUCAGCAUGUCUAUGAGUCUCCUUUUGUGCGCACUUCAACAGAGCAAAAUUAACAGUAGCGGGCCAAUACUGCUAUUUUGAGACGCUCCCGAUUUGUUUGAAAACGGUCUAGAUACAAAACCGUCAAUGUUAAUGUAAAGUUCACGCUCCAAUCAAUAGGAAACCAAGAGGUUUGUAAUGCAUUCUGACGUGAAUCUCAGCAGACUUAAAUGUUACUGAUUGACCUGGUAUGAAGCCAUGUUGGUCGUCUAAUAAAAAGCAUUUUGCCGCACUAGGAACUACACCACUCACUAUUAUUUUGAACAAUUUAGAAACGGCUGGAAACUCUGUAAUACCACGCUCGACUUUCACUUACUUGCUACGUGUUUAUGAAAAAGAAGCAACAUGGCUACAGCACAGUGUAGCGAAACAGAUUGAAAAACUAGAUGCUACCAGCUCGAACAACAGCUCGUUGUUUCCAACACCAAGCUCAGCUGAACAUAACAAACGAACGAGCUCAGUAGAUACACAUCUUGACGAUCCUCCUUCCUCGACAGAACAUAGUUGCUCUCCAGGAAAAAUUAUCAGGAUUGACGACAGCGAUGUUGCGAAGCCCCAGCCAAUCGAUAAGCUAAUUCAGAUGACAUUUAAGUUAACAUUGCUGAUGCACAAAAAUUAUAACUUCACGAGAAAAGAUGUAUUCCAAAUACAAAAUGAGAUUAGCUCAAUACUAUCAGAAGUUUAAAAUGCAUAACAACGAUAUACAUGUAGUAGAUCAAUACUGGCAGUUAGAUAACUAUUGUGACCACUAUCUAGCAUG
This is a long non-coding RNA of Wyeomyia smithii (pitcher-plant mosquito), 977 nucleotides long. RefSeq lists it as uncharacterized. NCBI's taxonomy places the organism in Eukaryota, Metazoa, Arthropoda, Insecta, Diptera, Culicidae. The transcript is spliced from 4 exons. The record is from RefSeq and is a predicted model, not a curated record.